RNAcentral lists this ribosomal RNA (480 nucleotides) under uncultured bacterium. Its description in RNAcentral is "bacterial SSU rRNA". It matches the Rfam family "Bacterial small subunit ribosomal RNA", at positions 28 to 507 of the family's 1533-position model. The record is from RNAcentral.
GACGAACGCUGGCGGCAUGCCUAACACAUGCAAGUCGAACGGAGCCAACCGACGGAAGCUUUCGGGCAGAAGACGGGGAAGCUUAGUGGCGGACGGGUGAGUAACGCGUGAGUAACCUGCCUUUCAGUGGGGGACAACAGUUGGAAACGACUGCUAAUACCGCAUAAUGUUAUCGAGCGGCAUCGCUUGAUAACCAAAGCUUUAUGUGCUGAAAGAUGGUCUCGCGUCUGAUUAGCUAGUUGGUGAGGUAACGGCUCACCGAGGCGACGAUCAGUAGCCGGCCUGAGAGGGUGAACGGCCACAUUGGGACUGAGACACGGCCCAAACUCCUACGGGAGGCAGCAGUGGGGAAUAUUGCACAAUGGGGGGAAACCCUGAUGCAGCAACGCCGCGUGAGUGAAGAAGUAUUCGGUAUGUAAAGCUCUAUCAGCAGGGAAGAAAAUGACGGUACCUGACUAAGAAGCCCCGGCUAACUACGUG